Molecule: ribosomal RNA, 467 nt
Filed under: uncultured bacterium
Lineage: Bacteria
Description: partial 16S ribosomal RNA
Rfam family: Bacterial small subunit ribosomal RNA
Source: RNAcentral
GACGAACGCUGGCGGCGUGCUUAACACAUGCAAGUCGAACGGAAAGGCCCUGCUUUUGUGGGGUGCUCGAGUGGCGAACGGGUGAGUAACACGUGAGUAACCUGCCCUUGACUUUGGGAUAACUUCAGGAAACUGGGGCUAAUACCGGAUAGGAGCUCCUGCUGCAUGGUGGGGUUGGAAAGUUUCGGCGGUUGGGGAUGGACUCGCGGCUUACCAGCUUGUUGGUGGGGUAGUGGCUUACCAAGGCUUUGACGGGUAGCCGGCCUGAGAGGGUGACCGGCCACAUUGGGACUGAGAGACGGCCCAGACUCCUACGGGAGGCAGCAGUGGGGAAUAUUGCACAAUGGGUGGAAGCCUGAUGCAGCAACGCCGCGUGCGGGAUGACGGCCUUCGGGUUGUAAACCGCUUUCGCCUGUGACGAAGCGUGAGUGACGGUAAUGGGUAAAGAAGCACCGGCUAACUACGUG